UGGGGAAUAUUGCACAAUGGGCGCAAGCCUGAUGCAGCCAUGCCGCGUGUAUGAAGAAGGCCUUCGGGUUGUAAAGUACUUUCAGCGGGGAGGAAGGGAGUAAAGUUAAUACCUUUGUCCAUUGACGUUACCCGCAGAAGAAGCACCGGCUAACUCCGUGCCAUCAGCCGCGGUAAUACGGAGGGUGCAAGCGUUAAUCGGAAUUACUGGGCGUAAAGCGCACGCAUGCGGUUUGUUAAGUCAGAUGUGAAAUCCCCGGGCUCAACCUGGGAACUGCAUCUGAUACUGGAAAGCUUGAGUAUCGUAGAGGGAGGUAGAAUUCCAGGUGUAGCGGUGAAAUGCGUAGAGAUCUGGAGGAAUACCGGUGGCGAAGGCGGCCACCUGGAAGAAGACUGACGCUCAGGUGCGAAAGCGUGGGGAGCAAACAGG
This 429-nucleotide ribosomal RNA is filed under the name Chloroflexota bacterium. Its description in RNAcentral is "Chloroflexi bacterium partial 16S ribosomal RNA". It matches the Rfam family "Bacterial small subunit ribosomal RNA", at positions 355 to 776 of the family's 1533-position model. The record is from RNAcentral. Lineage: Bacteria; Bacillati; Chloroflexota.